This 389-nucleotide ribosomal RNA is filed under the name uncultured bacterium. RNAcentral describes it as "bacterial SSU rRNA". It matches the Rfam family "Bacterial small subunit ribosomal RNA", at positions 28 to 418 of the family's 1533-position model. The record is from RNAcentral.
AUUGAACGCUGGCGGAAUGCUUUACACAUGCAAGUCGAGCGGCAGCGCGGGGGCAACCCUGGCGGCGAGCGGCGAACGGGUGAGGAAUACAUCGGAACGUACCCCGGAGUGGGGGAUAACGCCGCGAAAGCGGCGCUAAUACCGCAUAUGCUCUGAGGAGGAAAGUGGGGGGACCCGCAAGGCCUCACGCUCUGGGAGCGGCCGAUGUCCGAUUAGCUAGUUGGUGGGGUAAAGGCCCACCAAGGCGACGAUCGGUAGCUGGUCUGAGAGGAUGAUCAGCCACACUGGGACUGAGACACGGCCCAGACUCCUACGGAGGCAGCAGUGGGAAUUUUGGGACAAUGGGGGCAACCCUGAUCCAGCCAUGCCGCGUGCGUGAAGAAGGCCUC